GACGAACGCUGGCGGCGUGCUUAACACAUGCAAGUCGAACGCUGAAGCACCAGCUUUCUGGUUUGGAUGAGUGGCGAACGGGUGAGUAAUACGUGAGUAACCUGCCCUUGACUCUGGGAUAAGCCCUGGAAACUGGGUCUAAUACUGGAUGCUACAUGUCACCGCAUGGUGGUGUGUGGAAAGGGUUUACUGUUCUUGGAUGUGCUCACGGCGUCUCAGCUUGUUGGUAAGGUAAUGGCUUACCAAGUUGACGAUGGGUAGCCGACCUGCGAGGGUGACCGGCCACAAUGGAAGGGAGAAGCGGUACAGAGUCAUACGGGAGGAAGCAGUAGGGAAUCGUCAGCAAUGGGCGAAAGCCUGACGGAGCAACGCCGCGUGAGUGAUGAAGGUAUGCGGAUCGUAAAACUCUGUUAUGAGGGAAGAACAAAUGUGGAAGUAAAUAUGCAAGUCUUGACGGUACCUAAUCAGAAAGCCACGGCUAACUACGUG
RNAcentral lists this ribosomal RNA (489 nucleotides) under uncultured bacterium. RNAcentral's name for it is "partial 16S ribosomal RNA". It matches the Rfam family "Bacterial small subunit ribosomal RNA", at positions 28 to 507 of the family's 1533-position model. The record is from RNAcentral.